UAAAUAAAUACAGAGUAGUCCUUUUUGUUAGUUUUAUGCUUUUCAAUAAUAUGUGAAGCACUUAGCAAAUUUAACAUUUUCCUGUGGUGACUCUGGAAAGUUUUUUUGCCUGAUCACAUCAUCAUUAAAAAGGAAUUUGGUGCCUUUCCUACCUGUUUCUCCUUAAUUCUUUUUCUUACUCACAUUUUUUCUGGAGCACAUGUUAUAUUACUGUCCUUUUAGUUUUUCUGCUAAUCCUGUCCAUUUUUUCCCUGCACUGUAAUGUUGUCCUCAGUAUAACAUACCUUCCCUUUACUGUUUUCAGCUCUGUUCCAUUUCUUCCUGUUUCCUUUAGGAGUUUAUCAUAAAAUCUCCCCUGAAGUGUGUCUUAUGACAUAUUUUUUCUACUGGUAUUUUCAGGUCAUAGGGCUUUUAUUUAUUUUUUUUUAAAUAUUUUUCUGGGUAAAAUUAGGGAUAGUAGUUUACUUCCUUCUAGUUAGAAAUGAUAGUUUGCUAGUUUGUGUGUUGGAAAUAAUCUAGUACUCUGCAAUUCUAUUUAUGUAUUUCUUUUGUAAAAUGCCUUAUUUCCUGGGUUGUCAUGGCUAAUUUCUCUCUGAUUUUUCUAUGUAUGCUUUGUCUCUAAUUAUUAUCUUCUGCACAGCUUGAGUGUAUGACUGUUGUCAUUUUAUAACCUACUUCAUACGCUCUUCCUCCUCCAUAAUUUUUACGAGCCCAUGUUUCUGGGUGCAAUAAUAAGGUUCAUAGUGAUUUUCUUUCAUCACUCUAAACAGACCCUUUCAUGCUCUCCUGUCUGUAGGAAUUUUGACAAGAUUUCUGGCAUCAUUUCAGUUUGGGGUAUUUUUUUGUGGUUUGGGAUUGAUCUUAAUAGAGUUGUAUUAUUUUAGUUUUGCAUUUUUGAUACUUUGAAUUGAAAUUUCAACAAGAAUUCCAGUCUUUGUUUCUGACAGAUAAACUCAGAAAGGAGCAGCAAGAAGAAUGAAUGCUUCAGUGGUUAAUGGUCCCCAGGAAAUCUGCAUUGAAAUGCUGCAUUUAUGUGACCCCAAAUACAUUCUACAGCUAGGAUUUCUACUGUGCCAGAUCUAGGAGAGUAGAAAUUAUUACAUGACAAUCCACUUCCGUGCAGUAAGUUAGGAAGCACAAAUGGCCCCACUUGAAAGCAGGCACAGCUGUGUAGUGUAAAUCAGUACCAUUACAUCAGACCACCUGUCCACUCUAUCAUGUCUUCAGAUAUAAAUAGAGCUAUUGACCAUGUAGAAGACAUGGGUUAAACUUUGCUAUUUUCACCUUAAGUCCAAGACUGUGUGGGAAAUUCCAAAUCUGGAAAA
This is a long non-coding RNA of Peromyscus leucopus (white-footed mouse), 1325 nucleotides long. RefSeq lists it as uncharacterized. The transcript has 2 exons. Lineage: Eukaryota; Metazoa; Chordata; Mammalia; Rodentia; Cricetidae. The record is from RefSeq and is a predicted model, not a curated record.